GAAAGAAACACCUUGUUUUUUUCCCUCUGCCGGAAUGAAGUCAUUGGGCAUUUUCUCCAGGGAGAGAGCUUGCAUAGAACUGCAAUGGCUGAUUCUUCCACUCUUUUCAAAUACUACACAGAAAUGUCAUUGAGGAACUUUCCUAAAGCUUUAUGAGGAAAAAAAAAAUCACACCACUAUGCUUGAGGCAAGAAAUACAUCUUGAUGGUUUCACCCAAAGUGGUUUGACUGUAGGUGAUGUGUGGCUGAGGACUAAGAAAAUCAGCUUGGCUGCACAGUAUCUGCAGAGGACUGAGUGAAGGAGUUGUUUCAGGGGCUGUCUAUAGUCAUCCCAGAAAGAAAGCAAGCCAGUGUGGAAGCUGGAGUUCAGAAAAUUAGCCUGAGAAGCACAUCUAGCAUGAGCAUAUUGUGGAGCAAGGCCAUGCUGCCAGAACCAGAGAAAUUGCAGAUACAGGUGAAGAAAAAAAAGCCAUCUGAGAGCAAGCCACACAGGCAUAGGGUCAGUGCCUUACUUGCUCAGUAACAUCCAAGCGCAGAAGAAGAACUGAACCAGGGGGAAAAAAAUUGUAAGUAUUCAUUAUUUUGUCAAAAGCUGCAUAUUUAUAAAGCUAGUUAAAAGAUAAAUGCUUUUUUGAUCCUUACAAAAUUGAUGCUUACUACUUUUUAAAAUGACAAAUUCCUUAAGAGAGAAAUAGUAAACGAGGUGUUAACUGUCCACAGCUCUCCUAGAGACAGGAUAGGAAAUAUAUGCACUCAGCACAGGAGAAAAUUAAAACAUACUUAUGUAAUGGUAAUGGAAUUUACCAGUUUGCUGGGAAAAAGUGGGUAUUCAUUUGUAAAACUUCCCUCUGUCACACCCAGUGCUUUUUCAAUCCUGCACCAUUUUGAGCAAGGAUGGGCUGAUUGUGGAAAUGCACUCCCAUAAAACCAAAGUUGGUAUGUUCUGUGUCCCUUACAAUUGUGGAGGAGAACAGUUACACACUGGAUUUAGUGUCACACCUGGCUCACUGAUGCCUCACACUCCAUGUCUGCAUUGCCAGAACUCAAAAUGAAGAUACAUCCAAGGGACUGAUCCCAAAAAGCCUGAUGGGGAAACACUUGACUUUGCAUAAUUAUUUUAACAAUAAUAGAUUAAUCUGAGU
This 1142-nucleotide long non-coding RNA is filed under the name Cyanistes caeruleus (blue tit). RNAcentral's name for it is "lncRNA (ENSCCEG00000004945.1)". Lineage: Eukaryota; Metazoa; Chordata; Aves; Passeriformes; Paridae. The record is from RNAcentral.